AGGAAAAAGUGUGUAGGUACUACAAGAAACUUGACAUAUAGCUACGGCAAAUCUCUGUUGGUAAACUCUGUUGGUAAUCCUAGUUUCUCACGUUGGACCUCCUCCCGCAACUGCCGAAUUCAGACUCAUCAAACAAGGCGCCCAAGAUGUUGCCACUCGUCUUCUAAGCGAUGCUACUCCCUCCGAUAAUUGUUCUCGAUUGCUCCCCUUACAAUUUUAUUGGUUAGGUUUCGCCUAUUUAUUUAAUUUUUCUAUUCGAUUUCUAUGACAUGAUUCAAAGGAUUGAAAUCUGGUAGGUGUCAGGCAAGAUUCCACUGAUUAGGGUUCAAGCAAGAAGAUUGAAAUCUCUAAUCGGAGGAUGGGUGUCAUAAUCAAGUACCUUCAGUGACAACCUGGUGCUAAAAUCUAAGUCAAUCGUGGUAUGGAUGCUACCCUAAUUUUCCUAAUAGAUUUGUGGCUCUCUUAAUUGUGGUUAGGUUAAGAUUCCUAUGAAUUAGUAUGGAUUUCAAAUUCAGGCUAACUUGAAGGAUUUUUUUUGUGUGGAUGUGAUCAUUGCAAGGUGAAGUGGGUUUAUUUUUUUAAUGAAACAAAGUUUCUUUUGGGAUUUUUGUUGUGUUUUUUUGUGUGUUUUUAACCGGUUGAAACUGUAGGUAAUGACAUUGUUACUCGAAGAAUGACCGGGUAAAGUGGCUUUGAUGAGUUUCGAUGAAGAUCCCAAAUGACAAGAAGGGUAAAGGAGUUAUGUAAACCACUUAUUUGGUUGUUUGAGUUCUCUUGGACUACAUUCAUUGUUUGUUCUUUUACACUGAAUAUUCAGUUGAUAAUUUGCAGUGAAUAACUCCUUUAGAAAGUCAUGAUUUUUUAAUCUUGAUGAUUUUAAUGUUAAUCAAUCUCCUCGUAUAUUUUCCAGUCUUGUUAACUGUAAGGGUUCAUGAUAAAAGUUCUUAUCUAUUUCUUUUUUGUAUCGGUGUCACAUCAUGAGGUACUCUUUGCUCUGUUUGGGGUAAUUUGGCAAUGCUUCUCACUUGUACAAUCAACGUUUUGUUUCAGAUGCAUAUAGAUGAUUUUAGUGGCUCUGUUUCUGGUGUAUAAUCGGCCAACAUGAAAGGCAUCUUCUUGACAAGGUAUGGUUUAUACCUUUUUAUUUAACAUCUAUCAUUUUGCUUUUAAUAAUUUGUUUAUUUGAAUGCACUCUUAACAACUUAUUCUUUGGUGUGUUUUGUGAAUAUGUAAGUGUCCUUGAGGAACAAAAUAUGCAUAUGGCAUGUGGCUGCCUGAAGAAUAAGCACACUAUGUCCAUCUCGGAGCCGGGUAAUUCCUUUUGCACCAAUUCUCUAUGAUUGUAAAUUCAAUUCUUCAGAGGUUUGGGAUGUGUGAAUAGAUGCACAAUCUAGACUUUUCUUGUUAAGGAGACUGACAAGCUUAUUCGAUUGGAGGCAACUAUGAGAAUCAUUUUUCUGUUUUGUUGAGGUUCUUUAAGUUUUUAAUGAAUGAGACAUAACAAUUUAAAGCUUGAGAAGGCGCAUACAUUUGGGAUUGUUGUAAAGCAUUGGCUCUUGGAUCAUCCAGUGUACUUGUAGCUCUUGGAUCAUCCGGUGUACUUGUUGAUGAAUUGGUAACCAUCACCAGGUUCUCUUAAUACUUCAGUUAUGGUUAAUGUUUAAUGUUCACCUAAGUUGUGUAUAAUGUCAAUUUGUGUGCCAUUGUAAAAUUUUCCUUCCUUUUGGCUAAGUUGAGUUUCCAACUUGUAUUCUUUUAUUUUCAAUAGGUUCUAGAUGUUUCUGGUCCCUGAGCAAACCAAUUUUCUAAGUCCAGACUAUUGAAGAUGGAAGAGGAAUGAAGAUUAGAGACUUUUUUCUUUUUCUUGACAGAACAAAUUUGUAAAUUUAGUGGAUAUCAUUUUAUGUCUUUAAAUACAUUAUAUCACUCUUAGCUUGAUAUUUAUAACUAUAUGUAAUUUGACAUACUUGUAAGACUAGUUAGUUCUUAAAUAUAAUUUAAAGUUUUCUUUUA
Molecule: long non-coding RNA, 2013 nt
Organism: Trifolium pratense (red clover)
Lineage: Eukaryota; Viridiplantae; Streptophyta; Magnoliopsida; Fabales; Fabaceae
Exons: 5
Source: RefSeq, a predicted model, not a curated record